This is a long non-coding RNA of Ceratitis capitata (Mediterranean fruit fly), 295 nucleotides long. RefSeq lists it as uncharacterized. The record is from RefSeq and is a predicted model, not a curated record. Lineage: Eukaryota; Metazoa; Arthropoda; Insecta; Diptera; Tephritidae. The transcript has 3 exons.
AUAUUUUAUAGUCACUUUAAAAUUCGUGUGAGAACAUAGCGAAAUGUCACAACGGUUCUGAACAAAAGUGGUCCUCCUCAAAGGGAAGUAUUUGGAUGGAAGAAGAUCAGUCAGCAAUAAGAAAGCUUGGCUGGACGAAUGCAGAAGAAACUAUCGCUUCGAUAUGGGGCGAAAGUCACUGAAGAAAUUCCCAAUACUGUGGCAUUUGAUGAUUCCAGUGAAAUUCCCGUAAUCAUAAUAGAAGAUGGUUCCAAAGUGCCGCUACGACAAAACUAAAAACAACAACAUAAUUGCG